This 253-nucleotide ribosomal RNA is filed under the name uncultured bacterium. RNAcentral describes it as "partial 16S ribosomal RNA". It matches the Rfam family "Bacterial small subunit ribosomal RNA", at positions 524 to 776 of the family's 1533-position model. The record is from RNAcentral.
UACGGAGGGUGCUAACGUUGUUCGGAAUUACUGGGCAUAAAGCGCACGUAGGCGGUCUGCUAAGUCGGUCGUGAAAGCCCCCGGCUCAACCGGGGAACUGCGUUCGAUACUGGCAGGCUAGAGAACGGUUGGGGUGAGUGGAACUCCAGGUGGAGCGGUGAAAUGCGUAGAUAUCUGGAGGAACACCGGUGGCGAAAGCGGCUCACUGGACCGUCACUGACGCUGAGGUGCGAAAGCUAGGGGAGCAAACGGG